ACGAACGCUGGCGGCGUGCUUCACCCCUGCCAGUCGCACGGAAAGGCCCUGCUUUUGUGGGGUGCUCGAGUGGCGAACGGGUGAGUAACACGUGAGUAACCUGCCCUUGACUUUGGGAUAACUUCAGGAAACUGGGGCUAAUACCGGAUAGGAGCUCCUGCUGCAUGGUGGGGGUUGGAAAGUUUCGGCGGUUGGGGAUGGACUCGCGGCUUAUCAGCUUGUUGGUGGGGUAGUGGCUUACCAAGGCUUUGACGGGUAGCCGGCCUGAGAGGGUGACCGGCCACAUUGGGACUGAGAUACGACCCAGACUCCUACGGGAGGCAGCAGUGGGGAAUAUUGCACAAUGGGCGGAAGCCUGAUGCAGCAACGCCGCGUGCGGGAUGACGGCCUUCGGGUUGUAAACCGCUUUCGCCUGUGACGAAGCGUGAGUGACGGUAAUGGGUAAAGAAGCACCGGCUAACUACGUG
RNAcentral lists this ribosomal RNA (467 nucleotides) under uncultured bacterium. Its description in RNAcentral is "partial 16S ribosomal RNA". It matches the Rfam family "Bacterial small subunit ribosomal RNA", at positions 29 to 507 of the family's 1533-position model. The record is from RNAcentral.